AGUCCGAACGAAGCCUUCGGGCUUAGUGGCGGACGGGUGAGUAACGCGUGAGAAUCUCCCUUCAGGAUGGGGACAACCGUUGGAAACGACGGCUAAUCCCCAAUGUGCCGAGAGGUGAAAGGGUUUCCGCCUGAAGAAGAGCUCGCGUCCGAUUAGUUAGUUGGUGAGGUAAGAGCUCACCAAGGCAGCGAUCGGUAGCUGGUCUGAGAGGAUGAGCAGCCACACUGGGACUGAGACACGGCCCAGACUCCUACGGGAGGCAGCAGUGGGGAAUUUUCCGCAAUGGGCGAAAGCCUGACGGAGCAACGCCGCGUGUGGGAAGAAGGCUCUUGGGCUGUCAACCACUUUUCUCAGGGAAGAAGUUCUGACGGUACCUGAGGAAUCAGCCUCGGCUAACUCCGUGCCAGCAGCCGCGGUAAUACGGAGGAGGCAAGCGUUAUCCGGAAUUAUUGGGCGUAAAGCGUCCGCAGGGGGCGCAUCAAGUCUGCUGUUAAAGGCUGGAGCUUAACUCCGGUAGAGCAGUGGAAACUGGUGCGCUAGAGGGCGACAGGGGUAGAGGGAAUUCCCAGUGUAGCGGUGAAAUGCGUAGAGAUUGGGAAGAACACCGGUGGCGAAAGCGCUCUACUGGGUCGCACCUGACCCUCAGGGACGAAAGCUAAGGUAGCGAAAGGGAUUAGAUACCCCUGUAGUCUUAGCCGUAAACGAUGGAUACUAGGCGUGGCUUGUAUCGACCCAAGCCGUGCCGAAGCUAACGCGU
This 757-nucleotide ribosomal RNA is filed under the name uncultured bacterium. RNAcentral describes it as "bacterial SSU rRNA". It matches the Rfam family "Bacterial small subunit ribosomal RNA", at positions 60 to 860 of the family's 1533-position model. The record is from RNAcentral.